This is a long non-coding RNA of Cygnus olor (mute swan), 1850 nucleotides long. RefSeq lists it as uncharacterized. The record is from RefSeq and is a predicted model, not a curated record. The transcript is spliced from 4 exons. Lineage: Eukaryota; Metazoa; Chordata; Aves; Anseriformes; Anatidae.
UUCUGUGCUACACUUUUACAGGCUCCAGUCCUGGAAUAAUCCUUCAUCUUUACCUACCUGCUUCCUGAGGCAUCAAGUCCAAUGUCAUCGGCAGACCUGUAGGAUCUUAUUGCAGCAUAUUUCUGCUUACCAUCCGAUUCACCUCAUUAUUCACCAAGUUUAAUAUCACUGUGACAGUGUGCCAUUUACCAGGGCUAAAUUGAAUACAUAUGGAUUUUUAACUGUAUGAAGUUGUGUCUGAGAGCUCCAGCACGGACCAGAUGCCCACUGCACAAGAUGUUAUACAACACAGAAGAAAAAAUGGUCCUUGCUAUUAACUGUUUUUCUCUUCCUGCCACUCAAAAUGAUGAAACUAUUCUUGAAGAAAAGUGUUGGGUCACCAUAUUGUAUCAUAAAUACAAUGUAGUCGGGAUAUGACUGCAACUGCUUUCCCUGCCCUGCUGUGGGUCUACUGCACCUGAAGGUGCCCUUGCAGCUGGCAGCCCAGAGGACCGCCACCCUCUCGUCUUCAUUGCACAGUGAAUGAGCCGUGGUGGCGUGAAGGCAGCUGGAGCACACUCCUGGCUUCCUACCAAGCUGCUGUGGAGCCAGGCAGCCCAACCAGGCCCAUGCCCUAGAUAACUGGAAAGAGAUGGGGAACAUUGUACAAAGGCAGCAUGUACAAAGACAGCUGCUUUUUGCUCCUGCUUCUCUGUUGGUGUCCUCGCACUGGAUCUCCAUGCCCCUCCAGUUGUGAGUGUGCCAGGGGGAGAGUCAAGCAAAGGGCCUGUCAGCAGAGGAGGACUUUGCCUGUUAUCCCUGUGUCAUGGCUCCGGCAGAGCUGUAUCGUUACAGUACCAUCUGGGGAUACUCUAGUUCUGUGAUAAGAGUUGGUUUCUUUUGGCUUACUUUAAAUGUCACUAAAAAGUGACAAAGGGCUCAGUGUUGGUUGGAACACAGCCAGGGGCUCGUGUGAGUCUAGCUACCACCAUGGGACUCCAAUCAUGUCUCGUUGCCUUCAGAAUUUUGUGUCUGAUUUCACUUUUUACUGUUGGUCGAUGGCAGCUUUCAGCACGGGGCCCUGAGCUUGCCCACUAGUUCACAAAGCAUAAAAUGACAUGGCCUACCCUGGGAAAAAAAAAAAAAAAAUCCUUGCACAAUAAAGUGAAAUACUACAGUAAAUGAUCAUAUUACAUAAUAGUAUUUGUCUUUCUUCUUUAACUCAUGUUGUGGCACUCUCCCCGGCAGCAAGCCCUCCCUUUAGCUCGUCAUUGCCCUACUUCUGCACAUCCAGUCUGCUAGUGGUGUCCUCAGACCAGGAGUGACCACCAUUUUGUGCUCCUCAGGGAUUCGUGUCGGCUGGCUGCUGGUUUGCUGGUUGCUUUCACCUUGUCCUGCUCUCUGCUUCCACUUGCCUUAUCACCAUGGCUUCUCUCCUACAGCUGCUUAUUUUGAAGAUUUAACUGGAAAUUAUGAGACACAUUAAUUUCACAUCAACACUCUGUGCAGGGAUGAAUUUUGUUCAGGUCAGGCAAUGAAUUCAAGUGAAGUUCAUGGGAAUUGGAACCAAGUUAUCUUUUAUGAUUGUUCACUAAAUAUGUAUAAUCUUGAGAAACACUCCCUAAGCUGGAGGGAUUCACUUCCUAAUGAAAGAUGUGGUCACUUUGUGCCUGGGGAUGAGAAACAGCCAUAAUGUUUUCACUGCAGGCUGCUGUCAGCGUGACAGGGUGAAGAGCCAGAGUCCCCAGCAUGGUAGCACUGCCACUACCAUAUGUGUGCACACAGGGUUCGGAUUUGCUGUCCCAGACAAAUGGGAUUUUGUUCAGAAUAGCUGUAUGCACACCGGGGUAGGGCAUUCUGAGGGUACUGUG